UACGUAGGUGGCAAGCGUUGUCCGGAAUUAUUGGGCGUAAAGCGCGCGCAGGUGGUUUAAUAAGUCUGAUGUGAAAGCCCACGGCUCAACCGUGGAGGGUCAUUGGAAACUGUUAAACUUGAGUGCAGGAGAGAAAAGUGGAAUUCCUAGUGUAGCGGUGAAAUGCGUAGAGAUUAGGAGGAACACCAGUGGCGAAGGCGGCUUUUUGGCCUGUAACUGACACUGAGGCGCGAAAGCGUGGGGAGCAAACAGG
This 253-nucleotide ribosomal RNA is filed under the name uncultured bacterium. Its description in RNAcentral is "partial 16S ribosomal RNA". It matches the Rfam family "Bacterial small subunit ribosomal RNA", at positions 524 to 776 of the family's 1533-position model. The record is from RNAcentral. RNAcentral also lists the same sequence under 3 other names.